This 253-nucleotide ribosomal RNA is filed under the name uncultured bacterium. Its description in RNAcentral is "partial 16S ribosomal RNA". It matches the Rfam family "Bacterial small subunit ribosomal RNA", at positions 524 to 776 of the family's 1533-position model. The record is from RNAcentral.
UACGUAGGGUGCAAGCGUUAAUCGGAAUUACUGGGCGUAAAGCGUGCGCAGGCGGUUAUAUAAGUCAGUUGUGAAAUCCCCGGGCUCAACCUUGGAACUGCAUCUGUGACUAUAUAGCUAGAGUACGGUAGAGGGGGAUAGAAUUCCGCGUGUAGCAGUGAAAUGCGUAGAUAUGCGGAGGAAUACCGAUGGCGAAGGCAAUCCCCUGGACCUGUACUGACGCUCAUGCACGAAAGCGUGGGGAGCAAACAGG